Peromyscus maniculatus bairdii (prairie deer mouse) is the source of this 86-nucleotide small nucleolar RNA. The record is from RefSeq and is a predicted model, not a curated record. NCBI's taxonomy places the organism in Eukaryota, Metazoa, Chordata, Mammalia, Rodentia, Cricetidae.
UCUUCUACAUGAUGUCCAGCAUCGGGCUUUGACAUUCUUGAGGACAUGGAGUUUCUAGGACCUUUGACACCAGAGAUCUGAGGAGA